UCCCCUCGACCUUAUCUCUUCUCUCACCUUUCUCAACCCCAUCUCUCUCUCGCGUCUAUCUCCUCCCUUAGUGCCGCCCGCCAUCAUCGCCCCCGCCGCACCCGCCCACGCCGCGCCCGCUCCCGGCCUCGGCCCCGUCCGCCGUGGAGGCCCCCGCCGCGCCCGCCCCCGGCACUAGCCCCGUCCGCCAUGGAAGCCCCCGCCGUACCCACCCCUGGCCCCGUCCGCCAUGGACGCCCGUGCCCGCCCCCGGCCUCGUCCGCCAUGGACGCCCCCGCACUGGCCGCAUCCGCCAUGGAAGCCCUCGCCGCGCCCGCCCCUGGCCCCGACCCCGUCCGCCGUGGAGUGGAUUUGGAAUUUGACCCCGCUGUCGUGCUCGCACGUACAUGAUGCCUCUAAACCAGAGCCAUCUGCUGCAGGUAUGGUGUACAUUUCUGCCCCCGCCAGUGAACUCUACGAUUUUCUGUAUCGAAAUUUGUUCGAGUCUCUGGAGCGUGAAUCAUGUGUUCUUUUCCGGCUUACCAUGGUGCCUGUGUUGUUCAGGAGGAGUGCUGAAUUUCUUUUGAUUGCAGGGGGAAAUGAACGAACCGAUCAACAACCCUCAUUUGAUUAGUACUUCAUUCAAUCUAUUAUUACUGUUACUGAGUUCAGGACUCAGGUAGCAGUCGAUGCCACAUUGUUAGAUUGCGAUCUGCAAAAACGCUACUGAUUCAUAAAUAAAAUCGACCCAGCAUGUACACACGCACAGCUUCAGGCUGGUCCAAGCAAAAACUGCAUUCAUGUUUUUGCUUGUACACUGCACCGUACUCAUAUUGGUUUUAGCAGUAAGAGCGUGCUUAUGGGUGCAAAAUGUCAUAGUGAAAGAUGUUUUAUUGCAUUGCAUUUAGUUAAUAACAUGUCAUUCAAAGUUUUGUGGUAAAAUUUCUUCUGACCUGGAUAUGGCGCGGAAAAUUUGAACGGUCCUAUGGGAGAAUUAUACCAGAAAAGAGAAGGGUAUGCGUUACUAGUAGCUUCCCCCAAACUGCUGGCGCUAUGAUCAAAAUGUGCUUUCCCAAUUUAGCCACUGCAUGUUGCCUCAUAAUUUCUAGUUUUUCGAUAUCUGACAAUGCCCUGACCGCCGCGGAAUGUCACGCCACCGGACACCGACAUCUACUCCAUUCCGAGGGUUCUUGCCCCGAUGCCGUAGAAGUACGCGAGGUGCACGAAGAAAAACUUUGGCCGUUACCACGUGAGCGAGCCACCAGUUGAGCAUUUGCGCGAUUCACUGUACAAGACAGAGAGGGAUGUCAUGAAGGUGAUUAGUCCAGCUAUGUUUGGUAGUGAAGGGCGAUGUCCAGAGAGUAAGAAUGAGGCGACACAGUAUGGACUCGAUAUGACUGAGCAAUAAUAUCUUGAGCAUUCGAUUCCAUGGAUAGCUGCCAAUGAUGUUGUACAUUUAUAUUAGACCCCUCCAGCUACCUUGUCGAUGCAUGAACAAGAAGACAGGUUAGACUUUGUUGAAACCCUCUUCACUAGUGGAGGUAUCGACCAUCACUCGUCAUUGUAACCCGAUGGUGAUCGACGACCAUGAGCUUCCAUGUUAUUGCGUUCUGAUACUUGAGACUUUUAUUAUGACUAUGUAUAAGAUAUUUUCUCUUAUUAGUACUGGAUGAUGAGAUGUGUCUUAUUAUGACUAUGGAUGAGACUUUUGUGAUGUAAUUGAUGAGACUAUGGAUGAGAC
This is an RNA transcript of Zea mays, 1720 nucleotides long. RefSeq lists it as uncharacterized. The transcript is spliced from 4 exons. NCBI's taxonomy places the organism in Eukaryota, Viridiplantae, Streptophyta, Magnoliopsida, Poales, Poaceae. The record is from RefSeq and is a predicted model, not a curated record.